Molecule: small nucleolar RNA, 81 nt
Filed under: Choloepus hoffmanni (Hoffmann's two-fingered sloth)
Lineage: Eukaryota; Metazoa; Chordata; Mammalia; Pilosa; Megalonychidae
Description: Small nucleolar RNA SNORA31 (ENSCHOG00000016134.1)
Source: RNAcentral
CUGCAGAUGCAAGGAAAAAAGGUUCUCGAGCUUUCUGUCUGUCUGACUGUGGCAGCCAAGAUUGAAUGGGGGAAUACAGGA